Molecule: long non-coding RNA, 1092 nt
Organism: Esox lucius (northern pike)
Lineage: Eukaryota; Metazoa; Chordata; Actinopteri; Esociformes; Esocidae
Source: Ensembl
GUUCAGUCAUCCCUGUUUCCUGAAACCAUAGUAACCAGGGGAGUGAUGUAAGGGACCCCCAGAGGGACAAACUGAACAUACAAGAGCCAGGAGAGAGGGGAAGGGAUAAAGGGAGAUGGAUGGAUGGAUGGAUGGAUGGAUGGAGGGUCUGGAUGUUGACAGAUGGAGAGAGACAGGGAGGGGAAGUAAUGUAGAGAGGGAGGGCUGCGCAAUCACAAAGGCUGACAUUUGUGUGAGAGGAUGGGGGAUAAACGAAAGGAAGAUGACAGCCAGGGAGCAGAAGAGGGAGCCAGGAGAAGCAGGAGGGGGGGGAUAAAUUAGUACAUUAAUGUUGCAGCAGAACCGCUGAGAUUAACACACAGAGAAUUUGGGGAGUUAGAGGUGUGUGUGUGUGUGUGUCAGCCAGCUAUAGUAGGGUUAAUUUAAAGUGUCAAUGUUAUUUUGACUGCCUCCCUAUUAAAAAUGUCCUCCCUUCCUCUGCCUCAGUCCAUUUUAUGUCAUCAUUGGAAUGUGGUGUGUUCAUUUAAAGUCAUUGUUUUCCCUGUGAUGUUUUGGAACACGCGCAAACCUCUGAAGUAGUUAACGAAUCCUGUUUACAUUUAUCUUCUAAUCAUGCUGCACAUCUAUCUUCCCCUCCCUCCAACCGUCUCUCUUCCUCACACCCGUUCAUGUCCUGACCUUUCUCUCUUUUUAAUAUUCUUCUGUUUCACCCUUUCCAACUCUCUAUUCCUCUUAAUUCAUCUUCUCCUCCUCCCCAUCUUUCAGUCUCUGAUUGCUUUGUUUCUGUUGACUGCUGGUCUUAAAUGGGGCAGGCAUUCCCGUCUGUGUACCUGUAUGAUGGUCUGCUGCAGACGGAGGAGCUGCAGUGCACCAUGACUGCAGAGGAGUUAUGAAAUAUCUAGACCUACAACUAAUAUGUAGAUCUGUAUGAAAUAUAUCUAGACCUACAACUAAUAUGUAGAUCUGUAUGAAAUAUAUCUAGACCUACAACUAAUAUGUAUGAAUAAUAAAAAAUAAACUCAACCUGGUUGCAUAAGUGUGCACACCCUUAAACUAAUACUUUGUGGAAGCACCUUUAGAUUUGAUUACAGC